Molecule: ribosomal RNA, 253 nt
Filed under: uncultured bacterium
Lineage: Bacteria
Description: partial 16S ribosomal RNA
Rfam family: Bacterial small subunit ribosomal RNA
Source: RNAcentral
UACGUAGGGUGCAAGCGUUGUCCGGAAUUAUUGGGCGUAAAGAGCUCGUAGGCGGUUUGUCGCGUCUGCUGUGAAAACCCGAGGCUCAACCUCGGGCCUGCAGUGGGUACGGGCAGACUAGAGUGCGGUAGGGGAGAAUGGAAUUCCUGGUGUAGCGGUGGAAUGCGCAGAUAUCAGGAGGAACACCGAUGGCGAAGGCAGGUCUCUGGGCCGCAACUGACGCUGAGGAGCGAAAGCAUGGGGAGCGAACAGG